RNAcentral lists this ribosomal RNA (433 nucleotides) under uncultured bacterium. Its description in RNAcentral is "partial 16S ribosomal RNA". It matches the Rfam family "Bacterial small subunit ribosomal RNA", at positions 29 to 507 of the family's 1533-position model. The record is from RNAcentral.
AACGAACGCUGGCAGCAUGCCUAACACAUGCAAGUCGAACGAGACCUUCGGGUCUAGUGGCGCACGGGUGCGUAACACGUGGGAAUCUGCCCUUUGCUUCGGAAUAACAGUUAGAAAUGACUGCUAAUACCGGAUGAUGUCGAAAGACCAAAGAUUUAUCGGCAAAGGAUGAGCCCGCGUAGGAUUAGGUAGUUGGUGGGGUAAAGGCCUACCAAGCCGACGAUCCUUAGCUGGUCUGAGAGGAUGAUCAGCCACACUGGGACUGAGACACGGCCCAGACUCCUACGGGAGGCAGCAGUGGGGAAUAUUGGACAAUGGGCGAAAGCCUGAUCCAGCAAUGCCGCGUGAGUGAUGAAGGCCUUAGGGUUGUAAAGCUCUUUUACCAGGGAUGAUAAUGACAGUACCUGGAGAAUAAGCUCCGGCUAACUCCGUG